ACUCCUGCGGGAGGCAGCAGUGGGGAAUUUUGGACAAUGGGCGAAAGCCUGAUCCAGCAAUGCCGCGUGUGUGAAGAAGGCCUUCGGGUUGUAAAGCACUUUUGUCCGGAAAGAAAUCCUUGGCUCUAAUACAGUCGGGGGAUGACGGUACCGGAAGAAUAAGCACCGGCUAACUACGUGCCAGCAGCCGCGGUAAUACGUAGGGUGCGAGCGUUAAUCGGAAUUACUGGGCGUAAAGCGUGCGCAGGCGGUUUGCUAAGACCGAUGUGAAAUCCCCGGGCUCAACCUGGGAACUGCAUUGGUGACUGGCAGGCUAGAGUAUGGCAGAGGGGGGUAGAAUUCCACGUGUAGCAGUGAAAUGCGUAGAGAUGUGGAGGAAUACCGAUGGCGAAGGCAGCCCCCUGGGCCAAUACUGACGCUCAUGCACGAAAGCGUGGGGAGCAAACAGGAUUAGAAACCCCGGUAGUCCCAUGA
RNAcentral lists this ribosomal RNA (474 nucleotides) under uncultured organism. RNAcentral's name for it is "partial 16S ribosomal RNA". It matches the Rfam family "Bacterial small subunit ribosomal RNA", at positions 335 to 800 of the family's 1533-position model. The record is from RNAcentral.